CGCGGCAAGACGGAAAGACCCCGUGAACCUUUACUAUAGCUUGACACUGAACAUUGAGCCUUGAUGUGUAGGAUAGGUGGGAGGCUUUGAAGUGUGGACGCCAGUCUGCAUGGAGCCGACCUUGAAAUACCACCCUUUAAUGUUUGAUGUUCUAACGUGGACCCGUUACCCGGGUUGCGGACAGUGUCUGGUGGGUAGUUUGACUGGGGCGGUCUCCUCCUAAAGAGUAACGGAGGAGCACGAAGGUUGGCUAAUCCUGGUCGGACAUCAGGAGGUUAGUGCAAUGGCAUAAGCCAGCUUGACUGCGAGCGUGACGGCGCGAGCAGGUGCGAAAGCAGGUCAUAGUGAUCCGGUGGUUCUGAAUGGAAGGGCCAUCGCUCAACGGAUAAAAGGUACUCCGGGGAUAACAGGCUGAUACCGCCCAAGAGUUCAUAUCGACGGCGGUGUUUGGCACCUCGAUGUCGGCUCAUCACAUCCUGGGGCUGAAGUAGGUCCCAAGGGUAUGGCUGUUCGCCAUUUAAAGUGGUACGCGAGCUGGGUUUAGAACGUCGUGAGACAGUUCGGUCCCUAUCUGCCGUGGGCGCUGGAGAACUGAGGGGGGCUGCUCCUAGUACGAGAGGACCGGAGUGGACGCAUCACUGGUGUUCGGGUUGUCAUGCCAAUGGCACUGCCCGGUAGCUAAAUGCGGAAGAGAUAAGUGCUGAAAGCAUCUAAGCACGAAACUUGCCCCGAGAUGAGUUCUCCCUGAGACUUAGAGUCUCCUGAAGGAACGUUGAAGACGACGACGUUGAUAGGCCGGGUGUGUAAGCGCAGCGAUGCGUUGAGCUAACCGGUACUAAUGAACCGUGAGGCUUAACCUUACAAC
Molecule: ribosomal RNA, 865 nt
Filed under: Salmonella enterica subsp. enterica serovar Heidelberg
Lineage: Bacteria; Pseudomonadati; Pseudomonadota; Gammaproteobacteria; Enterobacterales; Enterobacteriaceae
Also listed under: 1 other name
Description: partial 23S ribosomal RNA
Rfam family: Bacterial large subunit ribosomal RNA
Source: RNAcentral